RNAcentral lists this ribosomal RNA (504 nucleotides) under uncultured bacterium. RNAcentral's name for it is "bacterial SSU rRNA". It matches the Rfam family "Bacterial small subunit ribosomal RNA", at positions 28 to 509 of the family's 1533-position model. The record is from RNAcentral.
GACGAACGCUGGCGGCGUGCCUAACACAUGCAAGUCCACGAGAAAGCGGUAGCAAUACUGCCGGUAAAGUGGCGAACGGGUGAGUAACACGUGGGUAAUCUGCCUUCGGGUGGGGAAUAACUCGCCGAAAGGUGAGCUAAUACCGCAUAAUGCAGCGGCACCAAAUGGUGAUUAGUUGUUAAAGCGGGGGACCCUUCGGGGCCUCGCGCCUGAAGAGGAGCCUGCGGCAGAUUAGCAGUUGGUGAGGUAAUGGCUCACCAAGGCUUCGAUCUGUAGCUGGUCUGAGAGGACGGCCAGCCACACUGGCACUGACACACGGGCCAGACUCCUACGGGAGGCAGCAGUGGGGAAUUUUGGGCAAUGGGCGCAAGCCUGACCCAGCAACGCCGCGUGAGGGAGGAAAUCCUUCGGGAUGUAAACCUCACAAGCAAGGGAAGAGCGCUACAGGUCUAAUAAGUCUGUAGUCCGACGGUACCUUGCGUAAGCCACGGCUAACUACGUGCC